CCUACGGGAGACAGCAGUGAGGAAUAUUGGUCACUGGGCGCGAGCCUGAACCAGCCAAGUAGCGUGAAGGAUGACUGCCCUACGGGUUGUAAACUUCUUUUAUAAAGGAAUAAAGUGAGGCACGUGUGCCUUUUUUUCUGUACUUUAUGAAUAAGGCUCGGCUAACUCCGUGCCAGCAGCCGCGUUAAUACGGAGGUUCCGAGCGUUGUCCGGAUUUAUUGGGGUUCAAGGGAGCGUAGAUGGGUUGUUAAGUCAGUUGUGAAAGUUUGCGGCUCAACCGUAAAAUUGCAAUUGAUACUGGCAGCCUUGAGUACAGUUGAGGUAGGCGGAAUUCGUGGUGUAGCGGUGAAAUGCUGAGAUAUCACGAAGAACUCCGAUUGCGAAGGCAGCUUACUAAACUGCCACUGACAUUGAUGCUCGAAAGUGUGGGUAUCAAACAGGAUUAGAUACCCCAGUAGUC
RNAcentral lists this ribosomal RNA (460 nucleotides) under uncultured bacterium. RNAcentral's name for it is "partial 16S ribosomal RNA". It matches the Rfam family "Bacterial small subunit ribosomal RNA", at positions 338 to 795 of the family's 1533-position model. The record is from RNAcentral.